This 400-nucleotide ribosomal RNA is filed under the name uncultured bacterium. RNAcentral's name for it is "bacterial SSU rRNA". It matches the Rfam family "Bacterial small subunit ribosomal RNA", at positions 357 to 774 of the family's 1533-position model. The record is from RNAcentral.
GGGGAUAUUGCACAAUGGGGGAAAACCUGAUGCAGCCACGCCGCGUGUGGGAAGAAGGUUUUCGGAUUGUAAACCACUGUUCUUGGUGAAGAUAAUGACGGUAACCAAGGAGAAAGCUCCGGCUAACUAAGUGACAGAAGCCGCGGUAAUACGUAGGGAGCAAGCGUUGUCCGGAUUUACUGGGUGUAAAGGGUGCGUAGGCGGCUAGGCAAGUCAGACGUGAAAACCAUGGGCUCAACCUGUGGACUGCGUUUGAAACUGUUUAGCUUGAGUGAAGUAGAGGUAGGCGGAAUUCCCGGUGUAGCGGUGAAAUGCGUAGAGAUCGGGAGGAACACCAGUGGCGAAGGCGGCCUACUGGGCUUUAACUGACGCUGGGGCACGAAAGCAUGGGUAGCAAACA